GGAACAUUGAGCAAGCAGGAGCUAAGGGAAUAUGCGGAUGGUACACUAACAGAUAUCUUCAUUGAAAGAGUUUUUGAUGAGCAUGUUCGACGUGGAAAAAUUGGAGGCGGCAAUGCCCGUGAAAUGGAUUUUGAAAGUUUCCUUGACUUCGUUCUAGCCCUGGAAAACAAGGAUGCCCCGGAGGGUCUUACAUAUUUGUUCAGGUGUCUUGAUCUCCAAGGAAGGGGUUUCUUAACUACAGCGGAUAUUCACACACUAUUCAGAGAUGUCCAUCAAAAAUGGAUUGAAGGAGGGAACUAUGAACUAUGCAUCGAGGAUGUAAGGGAUGAAAUAUGGGAUAUGGUGAAGCCGUCUGACUCUUUGAGGAUAUCACUGGCUGAUUUGCUAUCAUGCAAACAAGGUGGCACUGUUGCAAGCAUGCUUAUAGAUGUGCGUGGUUUCUGGGCCCAUGACAACAGAGAAAAUCUUCUACAGGAAGAGGAAGAACCCCAAGAAGAAGGAUGAAGGAUUUUUAAGAGCCAAUCAUCUGUAAUUGCACUAACAUCAGAUCCUAGUUUUCAGAAUAGAUUAUCCUGUGUAUGUAGAGUAUUUGGCUUUUCUUGGUCGUGUGAAUGGAAUGUGGUUAACAAUGCUGUCAUUUAAGGUAGCCUUCUUGGAUGCUGAACAAACCUCCAGAAGCUGUAUGUUUGAAAUCUUGUGUACCUGAGAGAUUCCUGAAAUCGAAUCGAAGGUGCUGUUGCUUGAUUAACUGGG
Molecule: unclassified non-coding RNA, 753 nt
Filed under: Hevea brasiliensis (rubber tree)
Lineage: Eukaryota; Viridiplantae; Streptophyta; Magnoliopsida; Malpighiales; Euphorbiaceae
Source: RNAcentral